CUAUAACUCAUCCUGUCCACCUCUACAAGAAAGAAAAAGAGAGAAGACUCAAGAAGAAACCAACCCCAGGAAAAUGACCCCAAGACUUCAACAUGGAUUGGGACCUUGUAAAGAAAAAUUUGAUUCCUUCUCCAUAAAGUUUCCAGAUGUUCAGCAUGCCAUGCAGGAUUUUAACAUCUUGUCCACAGCAACUUUCUGAGCUGGCAGCCCCCCAUCAGUUCCGCUACACCCCCUCCGCAGCCUCCUCAACACCACAAACCAGCUGAUUGCCGCGGGCAGGAGGCAGGGGAGGGAGCGGGGAAGCUGCGUGCCGCGUCUUGGCUCCUCCCCCCAGCAUCCUGAAUGCCACAAACCAGCUGAUUGCCCCAGCAAAGUCAGUGCCCGUGCUUGCAAGAACAGCAAAAGGAGCAGCCAGACAAUCCACACCCUCUUCCACUCUGACUCCACCACCUCAACCAAGCUUCAUA
Molecule: long non-coding RNA, 467 nt
Organism: Mauremys reevesii (Reeves's turtle)
Lineage: Eukaryota; Metazoa; Chordata; Testudines; Geoemydidae
Exons: 3
Source: RefSeq, a predicted model, not a curated record